AGUGAACGCUGGCGGUAGGCCUAACACAUGCAAGUCGAACGGCAGCACAGUAAGAGCUUGCUCUUACGGGUGGCGAGUGGCGGACGGGUGAGGAAUACAUCGGAAUCUACUUUUUCGUGGGGGAUAACGUAGGGAAACUUACGCUAAUACCGCAUACGACCUACGGGUGAAAGCAGGGGAUCUUCGGACCUUGCGCGAUUGAAUGAGCCGAUGUCGGAUUAGCUAGUUGGCGGGGUAAAGGCCCACCAAGGCGGCGAUCCGUAGCUGGUCUGAGAGGAUGUUCAGCCACACUGGAACUGAGACACGGUCCAGACUCCUACGGGAGGCAGCAGUGGGGAAUAUUGGACAAUGGGCGCAAGCCUGAUCCAGCCAUACCGCGUGGGUGAAGAAGGCCUUCGGGUUGUAAAGCCCUUUUGUUGGGAAAGAAAAGCAGCAGGUUAAUACCCCGCUGUUCUGACGGUACCCAAAGAAUAAGCACCGGCUAACUUCGUG
Molecule: ribosomal RNA, 492 nt
Filed under: uncultured bacterium
Lineage: Bacteria
Description: partial 16S ribosomal RNA
Rfam family: Bacterial small subunit ribosomal RNA
Source: RNAcentral